Molecule: ribosomal RNA, 290 nt
Filed under: uncultured bacterium
Lineage: Bacteria
Description: partial 16S ribosomal RNA
Rfam family: Bacterial small subunit ribosomal RNA
Source: RNAcentral
GGAUUAGAUACCCUGGUAGUCCACGCUGUAAACGAUGGAUACCUGUUGUCUGGCUUAUGCUAGGUGGCGCAGUUAACACGAUGAGUAUCCCGCCUGGGGAGUACGAUCGCAAGAUUAAAACUCAAAGGAAUUGACGGGGGCCCGCACAAGCGGUGGAGCAUGUGGUUUAAUUCGACGCAACGCGAAGAACCUUACCCGGGUUUGACAUCCCUGGACAGCGCUAGAGAUAGCGUAUUUCUCUUCGGAGAACUAGGUGACAGGUGCUGCAUGGCUGUCGUCAGCUCGUGCCG